AACUCCCCACCUCAAGUGAUCCACCCACCUUGGCCUCCCAAAGUCCUGGGAUUACAGGUGUGAGCCACUGCCCCUGGACCACAGGUCCUUGAAGUGUUUUCACAUAGAUAUUUCACAAGAGCCAUUUCAGAACUGAGAACAUUCGGCGUGCACUCUUCCUCUUUUGGUCCCAGUUUUUAUGUGUCCUACUUGAAAUUAUGUUUGCUCCCGUUUCAAUUGUAAUAUUGCACUUACUCAUUAGUUUUUAGUUUGAACUCUCCUGCGAGGUCUAAUGUAGAGUUUGGACAAGAACACAGAUUCAUAAUAAACCUACCCAGUCAAUUUGGUAUAAAGGCUUAGAAGGUGGAACUGGCCACAUUUUGAAUUGGAGGUAAGGAUCAGGAAUGGUAAUGGAGAGACAUAGGAUUUUCUUAUGGGAACAAGAAACAAAUAACCUCUGGGCAGUAUUAGAGCCCAGAGAGUGAUAAGCCUCUUCUAACUUCAAUAUUCUAUGUACAAAUUCACAAGACUUUUUCUUUCUUUCUUUCUUUUGAGACGGAGUCUCACUCUGUAGCCCAGGCUGGAGUGCAAUGGCGCGAUCUUGGCUCACUGCAAUCUCCCCCUCCCGGGUUCACGCCAUUCUCCUGCCUCUGCCUCGCGAGUAGCUGGAACUACUGGCGCCCGCCACCACAUCCAGCUAAUUUUUUUGUAUUUUUAGUGAAGACUGGGUUUCACCGUGUUAGCCAGGAUGGUCUGGAUCUCCUGACCUUGGGAUCCGCCCGCCUCGGCCUCCGAAAGUGCUGGGAUUACAGGCGUGAGCCACCGUGCCUGGCCGAGACUUUUAAUUAUGCAAUGCCAGACUGCAUUGCAUAAACCAAAGGCCAACAGAGAGGUGACUUUUCACAUUACUGGCACAAGAAGAGCCGAGAUCAGAAAGCUCCAACUUAAUGCAAACAUAGACAAGAAAUCCGACAGAAAUGACUUCUGUGUCUGGUCAACUUAACAUAACAUGACAUAUUGUCAAGCGCAUUUGGCUUUUUAGGUAGAAUUGUCUAUAAAGGUUUAACUGCUUUAGAAAAUAUAAAUGUGAAGAUUUGUGGUAUUUGGGUUUAUAUAUAAGAUAUUUCUACAUUGAAAAGAGAGUGGAAAAGCUUGGUAUAAGAUUUGUAAAAUAUGUUUGUAAUAAUGCUAAUGGAAGAGGUGAGAGUUGGGUGGGGUGGGGUGUGGAUGGGAACAUGGUUUGGGGAUUGGGGAAAGGGAAGUCAUGCUGUUAAUAAAAUAGUGAGGCAUGUUGUAUAAAGUGUUUUAUGUCUCAAUUGAAAUGUUA
RNAcentral lists this long non-coding RNA (1306 nucleotides) under Pan troglodytes (chimpanzee). Its description in RNAcentral is "long non-coding RNA NONPTRT005580". Lineage: Eukaryota; Metazoa; Chordata; Mammalia; Primates; Hominidae. The record is from RNAcentral.